RNAcentral lists this ribosomal RNA (505 nucleotides) under uncultured bacterium. Its description in RNAcentral is "partial 16S ribosomal RNA". It matches the Rfam family "Bacterial small subunit ribosomal RNA", at positions 28 to 507 of the family's 1533-position model. The record is from RNAcentral.
GACGAACGCUGGCGGCGUGCCUAAUACAUGCAAGUAGAACGCACAGUUUAUACCGUAGCUUGCUACACCAUAAACUGUGAGUUGCGAACGGGUGAGUAACGCGUAGGUAACCUGCCUGGUAGCGGGGGAUAACUAUUGGACACGAUAGCUAAUACCGCAUAAUAUUGAUUAUUGCAUGAUAAUUGAUUGAAAGAUGCUAUUGCAUCACUACCAGCUGGACCUGCGUUGUAUUAGCUAGUAGGUGAGGUAACGGCUCACCUAGGCGACGAUACAUAGCCGACCUGAGAGGGUGAUCGGCCACACUGGGACUGAGACACGGCCCAGACUCCUACGGGAGGCAGCAGUAGGGAAUCUUCGGCAAUGGACGAAAGUCUGACCGAGCAACGCCGCGUGAGUGAAGAAGGGUUUCGGAUCGUAAAGCUCGGUUGUAAGAGAAGAACGGGUGUGAGAGUGGAAAGUUCACACUGUGACGGUAUCUUACCAGAAAGGGACGGCUAACUACGUG